This 253-nucleotide ribosomal RNA is filed under the name uncultured bacterium. RNAcentral describes it as "partial 16S ribosomal RNA". It matches the Rfam family "Bacterial small subunit ribosomal RNA", at positions 524 to 776 of the family's 1533-position model. The record is from RNAcentral.
UACAGAGGGUGCUAGCGUUGUUCGGAAUCAUUGGGCGUAAAGGGCGUGUAGGCGGCUAAGUAAGUCGGGCGUGAAAUCCCACGGCUCAACCGUGGAAGUGCACUCGAAACUGCAUAGCUAGAGUCCUGGAGAGGAAGGUGGAAUGCUUGGUGUAGAGGUGAAAUUCGUAGAUAUCAAGCGGAACACCGGUGGCGAAGGCGGCCUUCUGGACAGUGACUGACGCUGAGACGCGAAAGCGUGGGGAGCAAACAGG